RNAcentral lists this ribosomal RNA (2049 nucleotides) under human gut metagenome. RNAcentral describes it as "bacterial LSU rRNA". It matches the Rfam family "Bacterial large subunit ribosomal RNA", at positions 1 to 1991 of the family's 2925-position model. The record is from RNAcentral.
GCAAGAUACCACGGGCGCACGGCGGAUGCCUUGGCACAGGGAGCCGAUGAAGGACGCGGCAAGCUGCGAUAAUCCCCGGCGAGGAGCACACAUCCUUCGACCCGGGGGUCUCCGAAUGGGCGAACCCAUGCACAGCGGUGUGCAUAUCCCCACCCCGAACGCAUAGGGGCGGGGAGGACAACCCGGGGAACUGAAACAUCUAAGUACCCGGAGGAGAGGAAAUCAAUCUCGAGACUCCCCGAGUAGCGGCGAGCGAAAGGGGACCGAUGGCCAAACCGUCGAGCGGGGAUACCCGGCAGGGGUUCCGCCGGCGGGGUUGCAGGGCCGCGCAUCCGGGGGCUGCCGCCCCCGGGCGCAGGUCCGGCUGGGGAGCGGAACGGCAUGGGAGGGCCGGCCGCAGCGGGUGACAGCCCCGUACGCGAACCCAGACCGGACGGCGCGACGCGGUCCCUGAGUAGGGCCGGGCACGUGAAACCCGGUCCGAACCUGGGUGGACCACCAUCCAAGCCUGAGUACUACCCUGUGACCGAUAGCGCACCAGUACCGUGAGGGAAAGGUGAAAAGCACCCCGGGAGGGGAGUGAAACAGUACCUGAAACCGUGCGCCCACGAGCAGUCGGAGCAACUUUCAGUUGUGACGGCGUGCCUUUUGUAGAAUGAGCCAGCGAGUCGCUGGCGCGGGGCGAGGUUAACCGGAAGGGAGCCGAAGCGAAAGCGAGCCUUAACAGGGCGACUUGAGUCCCGCGCCGCGGACGCGAAGCCGGGUGAGCUAUCCGUGGGCAGGCUGAAGCGGGGGUAAGACCCCGUGGAGGGCCGAACGCACGUCGGUUGAAAACGGCGGCGAUGACCUGCGGAUAGGGGUGAAAGGCCAAUCAAACCCGGAGAUAUCUCGUUCUCCCCGAAAUAGCUUUAGGGCUAGCGUCGCGCGUUCACCGCCGGAGGUAGAGCACCGGAUGGACGAGGGGGCUUCGCCGCCUACCGAAUCCAACCGAACUCCGAAUGCCGGCGGCCCAGAGCGCGGCAGUCAGAGCAUGUGGGCUAAGCUGUGUGCUCGAGAGGGAAACAGCCCGGACCGCCCGCUAAGGUCCCCAAGUUCCAGCCGAGUGGCAAAGGAUGUGCGUCCGCCCAGACAACCAGGAUGUUGGCUUAGAAGCAGCCAUGCAUUCAAAGAGUGCGUAACAGCUCACUGGUCGAGUGGACAUGCGCCGACAAUACACGGGGCUAAGCUGGACACCGAAGCGGCGGGAUUUUACCUAAGUAGAAUCGGUAGGGGAGCUUCCCAUGGGCGGGGAAGCCGCCGGGCGACCGGCGGUGGAGCGCAUGGGAGUGAGAAUGCUGGCAUGAGUAGCGAGAGACGAGAGAGUAACUCGUCCGCCGUGAACCCGAGGUUUCCUGGGCAAGGCUAAUCCUCCCAGGGUCAGUCGGGGGCUAAGGCGAGGCCGGCAGGCGUAGCCGACGCGCAGCAGGCAGACAUUCCUGCACCGCGCACGCGGCGCUACGACCGACGGGGCGACGGAUGGGGGUGGCUCGGCGGGGUUCUGGACGUCCCCGUGAUGGAGCGCGGCCCGCGGACCAGGGAAAUCCGGUCCGCACACAGGGCGAGGCUCCGGACGAAGCACUUAAGCGAAGCGAGUGAGCCCGAGGUCCCUAGAAAAACCCCUAGGCAGGCGCGUGCGCGCCCGUACCGCAAACCGACACAGGUGGGUGGGUAGAACAUACCGAGGCGAUCGGGUCAACCAUGGUCAAGGAACUCGGCACAAUGGCCCCGUAACUUCGGGAGAAGGGGUGCCCGCGCGUACGUGAACGGACUUGCUCCGGGAGCGGAGGCGGGCCGCAGUGGAGAGGCCCAAGCGACUGUUUACCAAAAACACAGGACUCUGCAGAAGCCGCAAGGCGACGUAUAGGGUCUGACGCCUGCCCGGUGCCGGAAGGUCACGCGGAGGAGUUAGCGCAUCGCGCGAAGCCCCGAAGCCAAGCCCCGGUAAACGGCGGCCGUAACUAUAACGGUCCUAAGGUAGCGAAAUUCCUUGUCGGGUAAGUUCCGACCUGC